GUGGCUAUAGCUCAGUUCGGUUGAGCGCCGUCUCGCCAUGGCGGAGGUCCCGGGUUCGAGACCCGGUAGCCACUCGA
This 77-nucleotide transfer RNA is filed under the name Actinoplanes sp. SE50/110. RNAcentral describes it as "tRNA-Gly". The record is from RNAcentral. Lineage: Bacteria; Bacillati; Actinomycetota; Actinomycetes; Micromonosporales; Micromonosporaceae. RNAcentral also lists the same sequence under 1 other name.